Molecule: non-coding RNA, 152 nt
Organism: Triticum urartu
Lineage: Eukaryota; Viridiplantae; Streptophyta; Magnoliopsida; Poales; Poaceae
Source: Rfam
AUAAUAUUCCCUCCGUCUCAAAAUUUUUGUUUUAGAUUUGUCUAAAUACAGAUGUAUCAAGUAUACGGAUAUAUUAAGUCACGUUUUAGUAUUAAAUACAUCCGUAUCUAGGUAAAUAUAAGACAAGAAUUUUGAGACGGAGGGAGUAGUAC